AUGUUGCCAGAAGGAAUACUUUUCUCAAUAGGUUGCCUUGCCUAUCAUAAGGACAUAAAGAUUGGUGAUGGUCUCUCUCAUCCCAAAGAAAUCCUACACGUUCAGAGUACUUCUUAUUGGGCGCCUGCUAGCAAUGGACCAUAUGGCCAGUCUGUCAAGCUUUCUUCUAUCGGUUGUGCAACAGUCAUUGUAACGAAUGUCAGAUAUAGCGUGAUAUUUCAAGGAAGUUUAACUUGAACAAUUACUGAUUUCAUCCAGACUCCGGAGCCUCUGUUUUGUCAAGAAGGUACUAUUUUUAAAAGGAUAAAAUGCCUUUGUAAUCUAUAAUUAUUUUCUGAUCCAUGGCAUUCUUAUAGUCUCCUGAUUAGCCAGCA
RNAcentral lists this long non-coding RNA (374 nucleotides) under Ailuropoda melanoleuca (giant panda). RNAcentral's name for it is "lncRNA (ENSAMEG00000028526.1)". Lineage: Eukaryota; Metazoa; Chordata; Mammalia; Carnivora; Ursidae. The record is from RNAcentral.